CAUAGGCUUGGUCCUGGCCUUUCUAUUAGUUAUUAAUAAACUUACACAUGCAAGAAUCCCCACCCCAGUGAGAAUGCCCUUCAGGUCAUUAAUGACAAAAAGGAGCUGGUAUCAGGCACACUAAAGAGUAGCCCCAAACACCUUGCUUAGCCACACCCCCACGGGAAACAGCAGUGACAGAAAUUAAGCAAUAGAUGAAAAUCUGACUAAAUUAUAUUAUUGAGGACUGGUAAAUUUCGUGCCAGCCACCGCGGCCAUACGAUUAGACCAAACUAAUAGAUAUACGGCGUAAAGGGUGUCUUAGAAUUUAACAAUAAAUAAAGUCGAACUUAAACUAGACUGUAGAAAGUCCUAGUUGCCAUAAGAUAUAUAACGAAAGUAACUUUAAAACUUCUGAUACACGACAGCUAAGAUCCAAACUGGGAUUAGAUACCCCACUAUGCUUAGCCGUAAACCUAAAAAUUUUCUACAAACAAAACUAUUCGCCAGAGUACUACCAGCAACAGCUAGAAACUCAAAGGACUUGACGGUGCCUUAUACCCUUCUAGAGGAGCCUGUUCUAUAAUCGAUAAACCCCGAUCUACCUCACCAACCUUUGCCUAAAUCAGCUUAUAUACCGCCAUCUUCAGCAAACUCUAAAAAGAAAGGAUAGUAAGCACAAGUAUUAACAUAAAAACGUUAGGUCAAGGUGUAGCCUAUAGGUUGGAAAGAAAUGGGCUACAUUCCUCAAAUUGCGGAAUAAAAUAUUUACGAAAACUUAUGUGAAAAUCAAAAGUUAAAGGUGGAUUUAGAAGUAAGCUAAGAAUAGAGUGCUUAGCUGAAUAAGGCCAUGAGGCACGUACACACCGCCCGUCACCCUCCUCAAAUAGAAAUAUUGAUAAAUUACAUAAGCCUCAUAAUAUUAACCUAUGAGAGGAGAUAAGUCGUAACAAGGUAAGUGUACUGGAAAGUGCACUUGGAUAAC
Molecule: non-coding RNA, 964 nt
Filed under: Idionycteris phyllotis (Allen's big-eared bat)
Lineage: Eukaryota; Metazoa; Chordata; Mammalia; Chiroptera; Vespertilionidae
Description: 12S ribosomal RNA
Rfam family: Bacterial small subunit ribosomal RNA
Source: RNAcentral